Molecule: ribosomal RNA, 217 nt
Filed under: Thalassiosira minuscula
Lineage: Eukaryota; Bacillariophyta; Thalassiosirophyceae; Thalassiosirales; Thalassiosiraceae
Description: partial Bacterial small subunit ribosomal RNA
Rfam family: Bacterial small subunit ribosomal RNA
Source: RNAcentral
GACUCCUACGGGAGGCAGCAGUGGGGAAUUUUCUGCAAUGGGCGAAAGCCUGACAGAGCAAUACCGCGUGAGGGAUGACAGUCCUAUGGAUUGUAAACCUCUUUUUUCAGGGAGGAAUAAAUGACGUGUACCUGAAGAAUAAGCAUCGGCUAACUCCGUGCCAGCAGCCGCGGUAAGACGGAGGAUGCAAGUGUUAUCCGGAAUCACUGGGCGUAGA